Molecule: long non-coding RNA, 524 nt
Organism: Cucumis melo (muskmelon)
Lineage: Eukaryota; Viridiplantae; Streptophyta; Magnoliopsida; Cucurbitales; Cucurbitaceae
Exons: 2
Source: RefSeq, a predicted model, not a curated record
AUGAUUUGCUUAUGUUUAAGAGUUUUCUUUUAAGUUCUUAUUGAUUUGAAAUGAUGUUUGAUAUAUGAAUAUUUCCAAGGGUAUUUCCAAUCAAGAGCUUAUGUUGAGUUUAAAGUAUGUUUUAUGUGAUUUAAAUGUUUAUGAAAUGGUGUUCAAACUAUUAGUCUCUUCUUAUCAUUGAGCUAAUUAUUAUGUGCACAUAAGAAGUAAAGGCAGCCAUGUAGAAAAGGACUAUAUGGUGGAAUGAAGUCAGCUGAUGCAUAAAAGAUCUGUAUUGUGUUAGGCGUGCGGUCUAAGCAACAAGAAGUGAACCAAAAUUUUCUUGAAUGUUGUUGAUGAAAAGGACAUCAUGGUUGUUUAAACGCAAGGUUUAGGCAUUAAGGCCAAGUAAGAAAAGACUGAGAAGCUGUUGUGCAAGAAAGGAAUGUCAAGUGUUUCGUUCUUAAGUUCAAAUAUUGUAUUCAUGUAUUUUAUAUUGUUGUAAAACGCUCGGUUAUAGAUUAAUAAAAAGAAAUAUUUUCAUA